AUGACGAGACCUAAAGGUGAAGGAGGUACGGGCUUUUGAGAUCUAAGAUUAUUUAAUCAAGCACUCCUUGCGAAACAAGCUUGGCAAUUAUUGUUUUUUCCAGACUCAUUAUGCGGAAAGGUGAUGAAAGCAAAGUAGUAUCCUCAUGGGCAUCUGCUGGACACUAUUUUCCCUCAAGUGACUUCAGCUACUUGGCAACAUAUUAUGCAUGGCCUUGAGCUGCCGAAGAAGUGUAUCAUUUGGAGAGUUGUUGAUGGUGCGACUAUAAAUAUCUCGAGGGAUAAUUGGCUGCCUAGAGAUUCGUGUCUUCAAAUUUUUGCAAAAAAGAACAGGACCAGACUUAUAUGUGUGUCUGAUUUAUUCAUGAGUGGUUCUAAAAGAUGGAAUGAGAAUAUGAUUAGGCAUCUAUUUUAUCCACAUGAUGCCGAGGAAAUUUUAAAGUUGUGUAUCCCGUCUUUCGAUGAGGGAGAUUUUGUUGCUUGGCACUACGAGAAAAAUGGGAUGUUCUCGGUUAAAAGUGCGUAUAGGUUGGCGCUGAAUUUAAAGAACACUAAGAGUGAGUCAGCGAGCUCUAAUGAUGUUGUGAAUGGAGAAAGGAGGCUUUGGAAGGCUCAUGUGCCUCAGAAAAUCAGAAUUUUUGCUUGGCGUGCUGCUACAAACAGUGUGGCGGUUCAAGUAAAUCGAUUUAAACACCAUCAAACUACAAUUGGUUUGUGCUUGAUUUGUGGCGUCGAAGAUGAAUGUGUGUUUAAUGCUUUGGUGAGUUGCCCUAAGGCUCGGGCACUACGUAUGGCGGUAAGAGAGGUCUGGAACUUGCCAGAUGAUGAGAUAUUUAAAUUUUCUGGCCAGAUUGGCUAA
This 858-nucleotide ribosomal RNA is filed under the name Triticum aestivum (bread wheat). RNAcentral's name for it is "partial small subunit ribosomal RNA". Lineage: Eukaryota; Viridiplantae; Streptophyta; Magnoliopsida; Poales; Poaceae. The record is from RNAcentral.